This 72-nucleotide transfer RNA is filed under the name Beta vulgaris subsp. vulgaris (sugar beet). Its description in RNAcentral is "tRNA tRNA-Thr". It matches the Rfam family "tRNA". Rfam says of the family: Transfer RNA (tRNA) molecules are approximately 80 nucleotides in length. Their secondary structure includes four short double-helical elements and three loops (D, anti-codon, and T loops). The record is from Rfam by way of RNAcentral. Lineage: Eukaryota; Viridiplantae; Streptophyta; Magnoliopsida; Caryophyllales; Amaranthaceae. RNAcentral also lists the same sequence under 3 other names.
GCCCAGGUAGCUCAGUGGUAGAGCACCCCCUUGGUAAGGGGGAGGUCGUGAGUUCAACUCUCAUCCUGGGCU